Long non-coding RNA from Zonotrichia albicollis (white-throated sparrow), 1790 nucleotides. RefSeq lists it as uncharacterized. The record is from RefSeq and is a predicted model, not a curated record. NCBI's taxonomy places the organism in Eukaryota, Metazoa, Chordata, Aves, Passeriformes, Passerellidae.
CUGGUCUAAUAAAAGGGAAAACCUCACCCUGUGGAUUUUGCUUUGCUGCUGAAUGCGAGGAUGAAAUACGUCAAGUGAAUAAUACUUAUUUUCCAAAGCUGUAAGGGACUGAAAGGGGGCUCUGACUCAAACCUGCUGGUUCAAGGGCUUCAGAGACAGAGCCCAGGAGGGGCCCUGGACACUGAGGUCCUGCCUGCUGGCUCCUGCUCACGUCACCGAGGCACAUCCUCCCACAUCAGUCCCAUCAGCUGUGCCAGUGUCACCGGCAGCAGAGCUGCACAGCAGUGCCUGAGCUGAGCCACCUAAUUGAAAGGCCUUUUCAUGGAGUGCAGUGACCUGCCCUGGAGGGCUCUCCCUGGCCUGUGGUUUCAUGCUCUGCAGUCUCAUCCAAGACAACUGCAUUUGGGAUUUCUCUUCCAGCCUAUUUCCUACCGAGUAAUUUGGACCUGAUCCUGCAUCCUUAAUCCUGAAGCUCCACCACAUGUGCUGGAGGGAUUCUAGGGACAAGGCUGUUCUUACAGGAGUGGAGGCACCAGAGCUGCAGGGGAGAGGCUGCCUGGAAAGUCAAAACAGGGCAGAAAGCAUCAGCUGUUCCAGGAAAUAACCUGUCUUUGCACAUUUCCUCAUGUUCAGGCUUCACUAUUAUGAAUGCAAGCACUGUGAUGAGAGAAGAGGAAAAUAAAACCAUCCUCCAUUUUGCUGAGUGCCAGCAGUGUGAACAAAAAUAUAAGGUGCUUCAGGGCAGGAAGAAACUGUGAAGAAAUAGGUUUUUGAAUUCCAUUUGUCUCGGAUUGUCUGAAAAUUGUCUCAAGAGCUGCCUUCUGGAGACAGCUGCCCUGCUCUGAGAGAGGGCAGAGACGUGUGUGGGGGUCUCAGACUGGGACAGGACUCAGGGUGCAGCUGCCUCUGAUUGUGCUCAGGUCUCAGCAAUGCCAGGCUCUCAAGGAGGACAAGGAGAGGUCAGCUGUGCAGUGGAAAGGCUCCAUGAAGCUCUUCCUUCCAUAGGAGCAUCAUCUUCUGCAGCAGACAUCCUGGCUGGCCAGGACCAGGCCUGGCAGGCAGCAAGGUGGAAGAGGAGAGGCUCCCUUCCUGCUGGUCACCUGAAGUCAUGGCAAUUGUGUGCUGCCCCUGUGCUCAAGGAAGACACACAGAAGGACCUGAGUCUGUGCUGAGGUGUUCAUGAGGUACCCAACCACUCCUCUGGUGCUUCCGAGACUCCCAGGCCACCAGCAGCCAGAGGGAUCCAUGCAUGGAAGCUCAGAAAAGUAGGAUAUUGCCCUUAAGAUGUGACAUCCCAAGGGGUGAUGUCCCUGGGGUGAGGAUGAUGUGUGGAUCUCUGCUCAUGCACCCACAGCAGGUAUCUCCUGCAGGUGUUGAACACCACAAGUGGUUGUGGCUGCCUCACCUUGGCUGUGCAUGUUCUGCACAGGGGCUGGUGUUUAUUAAUGGUAUUUAUUAAUUUAUUAUUCAGCUCUGGCAAGAGCUGCUGGAACCAACAUGGAGCUCCAACUGCUGUUCCUGCCUGUCCUUCAUCACUCAUGCUCACAUCUUUCUCAGGCUCACUCUCUUUGGGUUGAAAUUUUCCAUGCUUUGUCUUAGCCCAGUGACACAUUUUUGCCGAAGGUAUGGACAGUGCUCAUUGGAGUCCUCUUUGUAGGGCUCCUUGCUAAUCUCUGCCUUGUGGUAAAGGUCCAUCUUUCAUGUCUCAGGAGACAUCAGGCUGAAGAAAAUCCUUAGAUCCUCCUUUAUUUACUUGUUUAUUAUUUGAAAAAGUUAUUUAAAAUCUUACA